AACGAACGCUGGCGGCAUGCCUAACACAUGCAAGUCGAACGAGACCUUCGGGUCUAGUGGCGCACGGGUGCGUAACGCGUGGGAACCUGCCCUUAGGUUCGGAAUAACUCCCCGAAAGGGGUGCUAAUACCGGAUAAUGUCUUCGGACCAAAGAUUUAUCGCCUUUGGAUGGGCCCGCGUUGGAUUAGCUAGUUGGUAGGGUAAAAGCCUACCAAGGCGACGAUCCAUAGCUGGUCUGAGAGGAUGAUCAGCCACACUGGGACUGAGACACGGCCCGGACGCAGACGGGAGGGAGCAGUGGGGAAGAGUGGACAGGGGGCGAAAGCCGCACCCACCAAUGCGGGGUGAGGGAUGAAGGGUUGAGGGUUGAAAAGCUCUUUUACCCGGGGUGAGAGGGACAGAACGGGAAAAAUAAGCCCCGGCUAACUCCG
This 431-nucleotide ribosomal RNA is filed under the name uncultured bacterium. RNAcentral's name for it is "partial 16S ribosomal RNA". It matches the Rfam family "Bacterial small subunit ribosomal RNA", at positions 29 to 505 of the family's 1533-position model. The record is from RNAcentral.